CCUACGGGUGGCAGCAGUGAGGAAUAUUGGUCAAUGGACGAGAGUCUGAACCAGCCAAGUAGCGUGAAGGAUGACUGCCCUAUGGGUUGUAAACUUCUUUUAUAUGGGAAUAAAAUGUUCCACGUGUGGGAUUUUGUAUGUACCAUAUGAAUAAGGAUCGGCUAACUCCGUGCCAGCAGCCGCGGUAAUACGGUGGAGCCGAGCGUUAUCCGGAUUUAUUGGGUUUAAAGGGAGCGUAGGUGGUUUGUUAAAUCAGUUGUGAAAGUUUGCGGCUCAACCGUAAAAUUGCAGUUGAAACUGGCAGUCUUGAGUACAGUAGAGGUGGGCAGAAUUCGUGGUGUAGCGGUGAAAUGCUUAGAUAUCACGAAGAACUCCGAUUGCGAAGGCAGUUCACUGGACUGCAACUGACACUGAGGCUCGAAAGUGUGGGUAUCAAACAGGAUUAGAUACCCCAGUAGUC
This 460-nucleotide ribosomal RNA is filed under the name uncultured bacterium. Its description in RNAcentral is "partial 16S ribosomal RNA". It matches the Rfam family "Bacterial small subunit ribosomal RNA", at positions 338 to 795 of the family's 1533-position model. The record is from RNAcentral.